AUGUUUUCCCCUCUGGAAAUGUGUGAGCAGCUCCACAUCUGUGAUGGAGUUACACAUGGCUUUCCCUUGACGGUAAAUGUGUCAUCUUCAAGAUCAUACCUAUUGGCAACCCAGUUCAGUGAUUUGCGGCGAUUGUGUACUGGCUUCAUCUUCAGGAUGUCUCGGAGUCCCACCAUUCUGAUAAGGUCCACCUAUGGUGAGGAGUUCAUGGAGCCUUUGGCUCAUCAGAAUGUAGAGAAAAUCCAAAGGAGAUAUCCAGAGGAUUGGGAAAGGGGGCCAAGGAAGAGCUAUAUUUCGACAUUACCGCAUAUCGUCAGCAAUUUGAGGUGUGGUUUACUUAGUGCCUUCCGGUCUCCGUUGUAA
RNAcentral lists this ribosomal RNA (363 nucleotides) under Triticum aestivum (bread wheat). RNAcentral's name for it is "partial small subunit ribosomal RNA". Lineage: Eukaryota; Viridiplantae; Streptophyta; Magnoliopsida; Poales; Poaceae. The record is from RNAcentral.